RNAcentral lists this ribosomal RNA (459 nucleotides) under uncultured bacterium. RNAcentral's name for it is "bacterial SSU rRNA". It matches the Rfam family "Bacterial small subunit ribosomal RNA", at positions 29 to 531 of the family's 1533-position model. The record is from RNAcentral.
AACGGACGCUGGCGGCAUGCCUAACACAUGCAAGUCGAACGAUGCCUUCGGGCAUAGUGGCGCACGGGUGCGUAACGCGUGGGAAUCUGCCCUUGGGUUCGGAAUAACUCAGAGGAAUUUGGGCUAAUACCGGAUGAUGACGUAAGUCCAAAGAUUUAUCGCCCAAGGAUGAGCCCGCGUAAGAUUAGCUAGUUGGUGGGGUAAAGGCCUACCAAGGCGACGAUCUUUAGCUGGUCUGAGAGGAUGAUCAGCCACACUGGGACUGAGACACGGCCCAGACUCCUACGGGAGGCAGCAGUGGGGAAUAUUGGACAAUGGGCGAAAGCCUGAUCCAGCAAUGCCGCGUGAGUGAUGAAGGCCUUAGGGUUGUAAAGCUCUUUCACCAGGGAUGAUAAUGACAGUACCUGGAGAAUAAGCUCCGGCUAACUCCGUGCCAGCAGCCGCGGUAAAGUCUGUACU